RNAcentral lists this ribosomal RNA (419 nucleotides) under Scaphiophryne madagascariensis. Its description in RNAcentral is "partial small subunit ribosomal RNA". It matches the Rfam family "Bacterial small subunit ribosomal RNA", at positions 915 to 1533 of the family's 1533-position model. The record is from RNAcentral. Lineage: Eukaryota; Metazoa; Chordata; Amphibia; Anura; Microhylidae.
GGUGUCCCACCCACCUAGAGGAGCCUGUUCUAUAAUCGAUUCUCCCCGAUAAACCUCACCACUUCUAGCCUACUCAGCCUGUAUACCUCCGUCGUAAGCUUACCAUAUGAACGCUAACUAGUGAGCUUAAAGAUCUAUUCAUCAACACGUCAGGUCAAGGUGCAGCUUACGAAGCGGGAAGCAAUGGGCUACAAUUUCUAACAUAGAACACACGAAAGACUACAUGAAACACAGUCAUGAAGGCGGAUUUAGCAGUAAAAAGAAAAUAGAGAGUUCUUUUUAAUUAGGCGCUGGGACGCGUACACACCGCCCGUCACCCUCUUCAAACGCCCACAAACGUUAAUUAACACCUAACCGCACAAUAGAAGAGGUAAGUCGUAACACGGUAAGCGUACUGGAAAGUGCGCUUGGACUAACAA